This 1031-nucleotide long non-coding RNA is filed under the name Setaria viridis. Its description in RNAcentral is "long non-coding RNA (SVIR_LNC004320)". Lineage: Eukaryota; Viridiplantae; Streptophyta; Magnoliopsida; Poales; Poaceae. The record is from RNAcentral.
GUACCAAACAUGCAUUUUGAAGUUUGUCUUUGUAGGUCGUAUGUCCAUACCCCUUCCUCCCAUGCAUGAACCAAAUCAUCAAUCAUAGGCUCCAUGUACACACUCAUAUUAUUCCUUGGGUGUUUAGGAAUUAUCAACGACAAGAAUAUGUUCUAUCAUUGAAAGAGGAUGCCAGGGGGAAGAUUGAGGGGGAUAACGAACAUGGGCCAACAAGUGUAUGGGGAAACCGCCAUUCCAUAAGGAUUGAACCCAUUUGUUGCCAGCGCAACACGUACAUUACGAGCCUCUAGAGCUUUCUGACGAUAAAUCAUAUCAAACCUUGUCCAUGCUUCACCAUCGGAUGGAUGUACCAGCUUCUCAGGAUUGUAUCAACGUCCAUAUUUGUGUCAUGUCAUCUGUUUCGUGGAUUACUCAAUCAUAUAAAGCCGUUGGAUCCUCGGUAUGAAUGGAAGCUACCAUAGGAUCUUCACGAGGAUUGCGAGUUGCCUCUUCUGACCAUCACUAGAGUCUACCUCCAGGAACCUAGCGGAUUUACACUUCAAACAGUACUUUAACUCUGCAUGUUCUUUCCUAAAUAAGACGCAUCCCUUUGGACAAGCAUGUAUCUACUCAUAUGGCAUCUUAAGUGCAUGAAGGAGUUUACGUGCCUCAUGCAUGCUCUUUGGCAGAAUGUGACCAUCCGGGUGCAGGCUACCAAAAACUGUCAGCAUAACAUCAAAGGCUUCUCGACUCCAGCUAAACUGGGACUUUAUGGCCAUUAGGCGUGCAAUGACAUCCAGUUGAGAAGCCUUGGUAUGCCCGUGAAGGGGUUGUUGUGCUACAGACAACAUAUUGUAAUACGCCUUUGCGGUUGCCUCUGGCCCGUCCUUCCUACAUCCUUCAUCGAAGUAUGCUUCAUGAUAGUCAUUUAACAUGUAUCCUACCCCGGCAUCAGCAUCAUAGUCCUCAAUGCGUUGUCUCACGACCUCAUCUCUCACAUGAGCGGAUUCACCAUGGUAGAUCCACCGGGUAUAGUCUGCCGUAAAUCCAUU